GACGAACGCUGGCGGCGUGCCUAAUACAUGCAAGUUGAGCGCUGAAGGUUGGUACUUGUACCAACUGGAUGAGCAGCGAACGGGUGAGUAACGCGUGGGGAAUCUGCCUUUGAGCGGGGGACAACAUUUGGAAACGAAUGCUAAUACCGCAUAAAAACUUUAAACACAAGUUUUAAGUUUGAAAGAUGCAAUUGCAUCACUCAAAGAUGAUCCCGCGUUGUAUUAGCUAGUUGGUGAGGUAAAGGCUCACCAAGGCGAUGAUACAUAGCCGACCUGCGAGGGUGAUCGGCCCCAUUGGGAACGAGAAACGGCCCAAACCCCUACGGGGGGCAGCAGUAGGGGAUCUUCGGCAAUGGACGAAAGUCUGACCGAGCAACGGCGCGGGAGUGAAGAAGGUUUUCGGAUCGUAAAACUCUGUUGGUAGAGAAGAAAGUUGGUGAGAGUGGAAAGCUCAUCAAGUGACGGUAACUACACAGAAAGGGACGGCUAACUACGUG
Molecule: ribosomal RNA, 497 nt
Filed under: uncultured bacterium
Lineage: Bacteria
Description: partial 16S ribosomal RNA
Rfam family: Bacterial small subunit ribosomal RNA
Source: RNAcentral